This 433-nucleotide ribosomal RNA is filed under the name uncultured bacterium. RNAcentral's name for it is "partial 16S ribosomal RNA". It matches the Rfam family "Bacterial small subunit ribosomal RNA", at positions 29 to 507 of the family's 1533-position model. The record is from RNAcentral.
AACGAACGCUGGCGGCAUGCCUAACACAUGCAAGUCGAACGAGACCUUCGGGUCUAGUGGCGCACGGGUUCGUAACGCGUGGGAAUCUGCCCUUCGGUUGGGCAUAACUGAGAGAAAUUUCAGCUAAUACCUUAUAAUGUCUUCGGACCAAAGAUUUAUCGCCGAGGGAUGAGCCCGCGUAGGAUUAGGUAGUUGGUGGGGUAAUGGCCUACCAAGCCGACGAUCCUUAGCUGGUCUGAGAGGAUGAUCAGCGACACUGGGACUGAGACACGGCCCAGACUCUUCCGGGAGGCAGCAGUGGGGGACGUUGCAAAGCGGGCGAAAGCAUGAUCCAGCACUGCCGGGUGAACGAUGAAGGCCUGAGAGUUGUAAUGUGUUAUUAACCAGGAUGAUAAUGACGGUACCGGAUGAAAAAGCCACGGCUAACUCCGUG